GUUUGCAUCCUACAAAUAGCCAUGCUUUUCCAUUGUUACUUUGCAAAGUAUUGCCAGUUUCACUGCCUUGUCAAGUGUUAUUCUCAUUGCCUGUUUAUUGCCUACUUGUUAUAACCAUUGUGCCUGCUUUACUGGAUUACUGAUUUUGGAUUACUGUUUUGCACUGUUUGCCUGGUUGGACUGAUUACCUGUGAAAUGACUACUUUGCCUGCUUCAACGAUUACGUCUCUGCCUUGUAGCAUGGAUUUGUCUGAUGAUUGUAAUAUACUUCUUGCAUAUGGAUUCUACCUUUGCCUCCAUGUCGAGUCCAUUACAGAUUAUGUGCCUGAUGACAAGGAUCUGUGGUAUCAGUCCCAUGGUAUCAGUCACAAAACAACUGGCUCACUGAAAUGGAAUGAGACCCUGUGAAGUCGCAGAUGAAAGCUAAUGGACAUCUCAAGGCAUUCAGAGCAGCACACAGAUUAGCCCUGAGGUCAAACUGGAAGAGGGAAGACAUUCUCAUAUAAUUAAAGUUCACAAAUGGAUGGAUGGAUUUUAAUACAUUAAAGGAAUAUUUCAUCUUAAAAUAAAAAUGUUGUCAUCAUUUACUCAUCCUCAUGUCUUUCCAAACUCCUGUGACUGACUGACUGACUUCUGUGGACACAAAAGGAGUUUAUAGCAAUUUCCAGCAGUAAUGUUCUGCUGGUCCCCUUCCAAUUUCAUUGUGCUACUUCCAAUUUUACAUUGUGUCCUGUCACCUUGUCAGGUUGGGUUUUGUCUGACGAGGACCAUGGCAUCAUCGUCCCCUGUCUGUCUUGUGUUUCACGUCCAGGGCGUGGUGUCUGGAUCCUGACUUCCUGUCUGGUUCGGUUUUGGUCUGUGUCGGGAUCUGGACACUCAUGCUCCAUGUCAUGUUUGUUUUGUUCCAUGCAUGUUGUUUUCGCCCUCAUGUGUUUCAGGUGCCGCUGGCACGCAGAAUCAGCAUUUCUAUGGGAACCCUGAUUGUUUAAAUGGGAACGCUGAUCAUGCCAACUUUCAGCUGCACCUGUCCCUUGUUUGUUCUUGCCUAUACUAAUCCUCUCGUGUGUCAUGUCCUUGGCUGGAUUGUCUGAUUUAAUGUUAAAUGUGGUUCAGUCACUGUGGAUGUCGAGGAAUAGAUUUGUGGAAUCCUUUGUUGAAGCUUAGUGAGGUGCAGAAUGACACCCAGCAGGUCUU
This is a long non-coding RNA of Myxocyprinus asiaticus (Chinese sucker), 1194 nucleotides long. RefSeq lists it as uncharacterized. Lineage: Eukaryota; Metazoa; Chordata; Actinopteri; Cypriniformes; Catostomidae. The transcript has 3 exons. The record is from RefSeq and is a predicted model, not a curated record.